AGAGUUGAUCCUGGCUCAGAUUGAACGCUGGCGGCAGGCCUAACACAUGCAAGUCGAGCGGCAGCGGGAAAGUAGCUUGCUACUUUUGCCGGCGAGCGGCGGACGGGUGAGUAAUGCCUGGGAAAUUGCCCAAUCGAGGGGGAUAACAGUUGGAAACGACUGCUAAUACCGCAUACGCCCUACGGGGGAAAGCAGGGGACCUUCGAGCCUUGCGCGAUUGGAUAUGCCCAGGUGGGAUUAGCUAGUUGGUGAGGUAAUGGCUCACCAAGGCGACGAUCCCUAGCUGGUCUGAGAGGAUGAUCAGCCACACUGGAACUGAGACACGGUCCAGACUCCUACGGGAGGCAGCAGUGGGGAAUAUUGCACAAUGGGGGAAACCCUGAUGCAGCCAUGCCGCGUGUGUGAAGAAGGCCUUCGGGUUGUAAAGCACUUUCAGCGAGGAGGAAAGGUCAGUAGCUAAUAUCUGCUGGCUGUGACGUUACUCGCAGAAGAAGCACCGGCUAACUGCCGUGCCAGCAGCCGCGGUAAU
Molecule: ribosomal RNA, 529 nt
Filed under: uncultured Gammaproteobacteria bacterium
Lineage: Bacteria; Pseudomonadati; Pseudomonadota; Gammaproteobacteria
Description: bacterial SSU rRNA
Rfam family: Bacterial small subunit ribosomal RNA
Source: RNAcentral